GUGGGGAAUCUUGCGCAAUGGGCGAAAGCCUGACGCAGCCAUGCCGCGUGAAUGAUGAAGGUCUUAGGAUUGUAAAAUUCUUUCACCGGGGACGAUAAUGACGGUACCCGGAGAAGAAGCUCCGGCUAACUUCGUGCCAGCAGCCGCGGUAAUACGAAGGGGGCUAGCGUUGCUCGGAAUUACUGGGCGUAAAGGGCGCGUAGGCGGACAGCUUAGUCAGAGGUGAAAGCCCAGGGCUCAACCUUGGAAUUGCCUUUGAUACUGGCUGUCUUGAGUUUGGGAGAGGUGAGUGGAACUCCGAGUGUAGAGGUGAAAUUCGUAGAUAUUCGGAGGAACACCAGUGGCGAAGGCGACUCACUGGCCCAAUACUGACGCUGAGGCGCGAAAGCGUGGGGAGCAAACAGGAUUAGAUACCCUGGUAGUCC
This 425-nucleotide ribosomal RNA is filed under the name uncultured bacterium. RNAcentral describes it as "partial 16S ribosomal RNA". It matches the Rfam family "Bacterial small subunit ribosomal RNA", at positions 354 to 796 of the family's 1533-position model. The record is from RNAcentral.